AUGAACGCUGGCGGCGUGCUUAACACCUGCAAGUCGAACGGAAAGGCUCCUGCUUGCAGGGGUACUCGAGUGGCGAACGGGUGAGUAACACGUGGGUGAUCUGCCCUGCACUUCGGGAUAAGCCUGGGAAACUGGGUCUAAUACCGGAUAGGACGAUGGUUUGGAUGCCAUUGUGGAAAGUUUUUCGGUGUGGGAUGAGCUCGCGGCCUAUCAGCUUGUUGGUGGGGUAAUGGCCUACCAAGGCGUCGACGGGUAGCCGGCCUGAGAGGGUGUACGGCCACAUUGGGACUGAGAUACGGCCCAGACUCCUACGGGAGGCAGCAGUGGGGAAUAUUGCACAAUGGGCGCAAGCCUGAUGCAGCGACGCCGCGUGGGGGAUGACGGCCUUCGGGUUGUAAACUCCUUUCGCUAGGGACGAAGCGUUUUGUGACGGUACCUGGAGAAGAAGCACCGGCUAACUACGUG
This 465-nucleotide ribosomal RNA is filed under the name uncultured bacterium. RNAcentral's name for it is "partial 16S ribosomal RNA". It matches the Rfam family "Bacterial small subunit ribosomal RNA", at positions 29 to 507 of the family's 1533-position model. The record is from RNAcentral.